Pangasianodon hypophthalmus (striped catfish) is the source of this 866-nucleotide long non-coding RNA. RefSeq lists it as uncharacterized. Lineage: Eukaryota; Metazoa; Chordata; Actinopteri; Siluriformes; Pangasiidae. The transcript has 3 exons. The record is from RefSeq and is a predicted model, not a curated record.
UAUCCUCACAUGGGUUCUCUUAUCACUGCUAUGCUGAUGAUACACAACUUAUCCUCUCCUUCCCUCCUUCAGACACAACUGCUUCUGCUCGGAUCUCAGCAUGUCUGGCAGACAUAUCAUCGUGGAUUGCAGCUCAUCAGCUAAAAACUCAAUCCCAGCAAAACCAAACUGCUGUUCAUCCCAGGUGAUUCAUCCCCAUGUCAGGAUCGUGCAAUCUCCCUGGACAACGAGGGAGUCGCUGCCUAAUAUAUCCCACCCCUUGACAGGUGCCUCUGUACGAGAUGUUAUGGCUGAUCAAUAUAUAUAUUUUACGCUAUCUGGAUUUUACGCUCUAUCUGGAUUUUCACGUUAUCCGUUUCUCUGGUUUCCUCUCACCUCCCAAAAAACAUGCCAUCAUGCUAAGCUAGCUCUUGGUGAGGAUGAGCGUUCACACCCACUGAUCCCAGGAUAGACUUCCAGGAUAAAACCAGGAUAAAGAGUUUACUGAAGAUGAGUGAAUGAAUAAAAUGUUUAUUUGUUAUAAUGUAUUAUAAAUAUAGUGUAUAGGGCUUAUACCUGCAUUCAGACUACAUUUAUGAUACAUUAUAACCAUGUUUCAGCUUUAAAGAUGCCACGGUGUAAACAAAGCUAUUGGCCAAAACACUUGAUCCGACAUGCUGAUUGGCCAGCACAUGGAAGGGGCGGGACUUUCCUGUAGACCUGCCUUUAGUUGGCGCGUGUGCAGGUCUUCAACGUGGCAGGAGCUUCAGAAGAGUGCAGCACUGUUUAAUCUGGUGACCCGGGAGAGGAACUACAGGCAGAAGAACAAAGACACGCUGGGAGUCUCAGAUACACAGAAGAUGAGCUCAGAAAAACCAGAAAAACCA